Molecule: long non-coding RNA, 966 nt
Organism: Oncorhynchus tshawytscha (Chinook salmon)
Lineage: Eukaryota; Metazoa; Chordata; Actinopteri; Salmoniformes; Salmonidae
Source: Ensembl
CACUAGAGACGGUUAGGAGCAGUCACUAGAGACGGUUAGGAGCAGUCACUAGAGACGGUUAGGAGCAGUCACUAGAGACGGUUAGGAGCAGUCACUAGAGACGGUUAGGAGCAGUCACUAGAGACGGUUAGGAGCAGUCACUAGCAACGGUUUGGAGCAGGCAUUAGCAGAAUCUGUGAAGUACUUGUUUCUCCACAGAGAGAAAAUCUAUAUUUUUAUUAACGUUGCUCUUGAAAAGAAGAGGUAGUCGUUAGCUUCACAUACUGGGAUGGUUUGUGACACAGAUGGGAGAAAGAGGCUGUUGGAAGCAAAAUAUUUAUUUGGUAUUUUGCAAUCGAGAACGGCAGCUAGAAAGGCCUACCUCUGUCAGGCUGUGUGCUGUUCCACCCAGCAUAACACGCACGCGUGCACACACACACACACACACGCGCACGCACACACACACACACACACACACACAUACGCACACACAUACGCACACACACACACACAUACGCACACACAUACGCACACACAUACGCACACACACACACACACACACACACACACACACACACACACAUACGCACACACACACUCUAAAGGGUGAACCAGCUCAGGGCUAAAACAAAUCUGAAACGCCUGGGGGUUCCCAACCUAUAGACUAUAGAACCACUGACUGACAACAGGACAGACUAUAGAACCACUGACUGACAACAGGACAGACUAUAGAACCACUGACUGACAACAGGACAGACUAUAGAACCACAAGCUAUACCACAUAGCUAUGUGGACCAGUCAUAGUCAGUACAUUCAUCAGAUAGCUAGGUGGACCAGUCACAGUUAGUACAUUCAUCUCCAGAUGGGUAGGUGGACCAGUCAUAGUCAGUACAUUCAUCUCCAGAUAGCUAGGUGGGACAACCACAUAUCACAGUCAGCACAUUUUGCCUCAAAGACACAGAGUAGUCACCUACAACCCACAGACAG